GACGAACGCUGGCGGCGUGCUUAACACAUGCAAGUCGAACGGGCCUUGUCCCCUUUUUUUUUGGGGGUGGGGUUAGUGGCGAACGGGUGAGUAACACGUGAGUAACCUGCCCCUCACUUCUGGAUAACCGCUUGAAAGGGUGGCUAAUACGGGGUGUUCUGGCCUGCUCGCAUGGGUGGGUUUGGAAAGAUUCGACCGGUUUUGGUUGUUUUGGUGGGGGAUGGGCUCGCGGCCUAUCAGCUUGUUGGUGGGGUGAUGGCCUGCCAAGGCUUUGACGGGUAGCCGGGCUGAGAGGGUGGGCGGUCACACUGGGACUGAGACACGGCCCAGACUCCUACGGGAGGCAGCAGUGGGGAAUAUUGCACAAUGGGCGCAAGGCUGAUGCAGGGAAGCCGCGUGAGGGAUGGAGGCCUUCGGGUUGUGAACCUCUUUCGCCAGUGAAGAAGGUCCUGCUCUUUGUGGUGGGGUUGACGGUAGCUGGGUUAAUGAAGCGCCGGCUAACUACGUG
Molecule: ribosomal RNA, 508 nt
Filed under: uncultured bacterium
Lineage: Bacteria
Description: partial 16S ribosomal RNA
Rfam family: Bacterial small subunit ribosomal RNA
Source: RNAcentral